Molecule: non-coding RNA, 9504 nt
Organism: Oryctolagus cuniculus (rabbit)
Lineage: Eukaryota; Metazoa; Chordata; Mammalia; Lagomorpha; Leporidae
Source: RefSeq, a predicted model, not a curated record
UCCAGGGAAGACAAAACAGCUGAUAAAAUCUUACACAACAUCCAGUUUCAUUCUCUCCAUACAAGAAUCUGAACUUCUCUCACACCAUAUCCAUUAACACGUCUGGCAUUAGAGCUAUGCUAAUGCUUUUUCCUGAACACAGAGUAACAAAAUAAUAGUAAAGAACUUUCUAUCCUGGAAACCAAUACUGGGCCUAAAAUGAAUGAUUUUUGUAGUGUCGUCCAGGGCAGAACCAGGGGCUAAGCACAGUGCAAGUCACCUCCAAAGGUCUUUUAUUAGAAGUGACAACCAGUUUAGAACAAAAAGUUAAAAAAUAUAUCCCUUACAUAAAACAUCCCAUCUGUAUUUCAGAGCUUUCUGUAGAAGUCCUGACUCGCUGUGUAAAAAUGAUUAAGACCUUGAUUAACAAGCCAGCUUGCAUAAUUUUCUAUUAGUUUCAUUGAAGUCAAAGGAUCAUCUCUUGUGUACCUAAACUUGUUCAGCCAGUUCUCUAUUUUGUUUUUAUGUGUUUGUCAGAAGAGAACGAACUGUUAGUGUAUCACCAAAAACACCAAUAUACUUAGUGUAAAUGAAAGCUUAACCCCAAACAGUCUUAUCAGAGAUGCACAUGUUCAGGCACUAUUCCUACUGCAUGGUCCUUCCUGUCCCUUUUCAAGAGUCAAAGGACAUGACCUCCUUUGAAAGUUGUUUUUGUAUCUGAAGUGAUGAGAGUUUUAGGCUGGUAAAUAUAGGAUUAUAAGGACCAAUUCUCUCAUGAUCCCUUUUCUCUUUCCUUCCUCCAGCUGAAUCUUCACACUUAUGUAUAUUCUUCCAGGGGAGAAAAAAAUGAGCACAUACCAGGUAUUGGUGUCAUUUGAAGAUGUGAGUGUGGACUUCAGUCAGGAAGAAUGGCAUAAAAUGAACCCUGCUCAGUGGACCCUGUACAGAGAUUUCAUGCUGGAGACCUACAGCCAUCUCGUCUCAGUAGGAUAUUGUGUUACCAAACCUGAUGUGAUAUUCAAAUUGGAACAAGGUGAAAGCUGUGGUCCUUGGAGGACAAAUUGCUAAACCAGCAGGAACCAGGUGAGUGAACACUGACAGAAAGAGAUCUGGGGUUGUUUGACCUUAGAAGGAGAACACUUUUGUUAGUUUAUUUUUUUAAUUAUUGAAAUAUAAUUCAUGUAUCAUAUAAUUCCUUACUUAAAGUACAAAGUUCAGUGACUUGGCAUAUGCACAAAUUUAUACAAACAUCACGACAGUCAAUUUUCAUCACUUCAGAAAGAAACCUAUAUCUUUCAGUUAUCACCCUUCUAACCCCUAGCCUCUCUAGUCCUAAGCAAUUACUAAUGUCCUUCUGUCUCUACAUUUGCCUAUUCUGGACAUUUAAUAUAAAUGGAAUUAUAUAACAUUUGAUCAUUUAUUAUUGGUUUCUUUUGCUUAGUUUACAAGAUUGAUAUUCUAGCAUGUAUUAGUACUUCAUCCUUUUGUGGCCAGAUAAUAUAACAUUGUAUGGACAUACCACAUUUUGUUUGCCUAUUCAUUAGUGAUUUGCCUUUUGGCUGUUGUGAAUAAAGCUGAUAUAAACAUUCAUUCACAUGUUUGUAUAUGGAUAUAUGUUUUUAUUUUUCUUAAGUAUAUACUUAGGAUGAAACUGCUGAGUGAUACAGCACCUCUUUGUUUAUAUCUUUAAGGACCUAAUUUUUCUGAUUUAAACACAUCCUCACCAUAAUAGGAGAUUUUAUUCUAACCAUUCUUAUGGAUAUGAAGUGGUCUCCUUGUGGUUUUGAUUUAUAUUUCUGUUAGUCAGCUGGAUCUUACAUAAUAAAAUACCAUAAGCUGAGUGGCUUAAACAACAGAAAUGUAUUUCUCACAGUUGUAUAGCCUGAAAUUCCAAAAUUAAGGUGCCAGUAGGUUGAUUUCUGAUAAGGCCUCUCUUUUUCUUUUCUUUUUUAAAGAUUUUAUUUAUGAAUUUGAGAGGCAGAAUUACAGAUGGUGAGAGGGAGAGACAGAGAGGAAGGUCCUCCAUCCGCUGGUUCACUCCCCAAGGGGCUGCAAUGGCCAGAGUUGAGCCAAUCCAAAGCCAGGAACCAGGAUCUUCAUCCAGGUUUCCCAUGCAGGUGCAAGGGCCCACUGCUGGCUCGGAUCAGUGCAGCACAUCAGCCUUAGCGGCCAUUUGGGGAGUGAACCAACGAAAGGAAGACCUUUCUGUCUGUCUCUCUCUCUCUCACUGUCUAACUCUGCCUGUCAAAAAAAAAAUCUACCUGAUCACUUAGGACAGCAGUGACCUUUUUAUAUGCAUAUUAGCCUUUGUUUAUGCUAUUAUGCAAUCCUGGGAAUUUUCAAGUUACAUUUUUAAAUUAUUUAUUAAAAGAAAGUAAAAUUAUCAGAAUUAUGAGGAAUAAAGCAUACUUACCGAACAUUUUUGUUAUGGAGAAAUAUAAAUAAAGGGCAUAACAUAAAGGCUGACAUAAUUUACGUCAAGUCUGUCUUCCAGUCAGUGCAAAUAAUUGGAUUAGUUGAAAACGAUAUCUCUAAAUAAGUGACUUAGAAAAAUUGUAAUGAAAGAUGUUGAAUUAAUAAAAUAAUUUGGGACUCAUGUUCUGUUAUUAAGAUUUUAACGUAGGGAAUAAGUGCAUUAAAUGAAAAGAGUCCCUUUUAGCUCAUAGCACAGAUUAGAGAAAACCUUUAAGUAUUUUAAUGACUAAACCAAAAAGUAUGUCAGUGUUCAUAAAAUAAUGGAAUUCUAACAACCUAAAACUCAGUAGAAUUAGGAACUCAUACUGUCUCCUCAAACAAGGAACUCAUAACUCUAUCUCACCUGAACAUUAAAUAAACACCCCUACAGAAGGUAUUAAUGACAUUUUUAUUAAAGUGGACAAUACAUUCCAUUGUAUGCCAUCUGCAAAAAACAAACCUUUCAAGUUCCUACAAAAUAAUCAUAAAAUAUUGAAAAUAUAAAUUUUAAAGAGAGAAUCACCACAAAUAUUCCUUGAACAUAGUUUGUAAAAUCUAGAAAUUAAUAAUUGAGUAAACAAAAACACAUGAAAACUUUUCUAAGUUAUCUUUUAAACAUUGUAAAAAAGGAAAUCAAAACCAAAUUUAUGUAAUACUUAAGAAAUGAUAAAUGUAACUCCAAAUUAGAAACCUUCAAAUAUAGCCAAAUUAGUGAGCAUUGAUUAAGCAGUAACAGAAGCACACUGAUGAAAACAGAAGACUUUGAAAGUAAAAUCAGAAAUUAUUACACUGUAAACUGAGAAACAGAAUGUUCUUAGAAUAAAAAAUGAGCUGGCAUUGUUGUGCAGCAGUAAAAGCCACUACCUGCAACACUGGCAUCCCAUACAGGUGCUGGUUCAUUUCUCAGCUGCUUAUCUUCCAAACCAACUCCCACUGCUUGGGAAAAGCAGUGGAAGAUGGCCCAAGUGUUUGAGCCUCUGCUACCCAUCCAGGUGGGAGAUCCAGAUGAACCUCCUGGCUCUGAGCUCCCACCUGGCCUAGCCCUCACCACUACAACCAUCUGGGGAGUGAACCAGCAGAUGGAACAUGUCUCUUUCUCUGUCUCUCCCUCUUUACUUGUAAUUCUGAAUUUCAAAUAAGUAAAUGUGUUCAAAAAAAGAAUAAAAACAAAAAUAGAUGACAGCUAGACAAAAAGAGGAAUCAUCUACAUAUCUAUCCUUAAACUAUAAUCUUGAUUAACUUAUUAAUUAGAAUUAGGUUUUGAAAUUAGGCAGUUUUCUUAUCUUCUUUAUUAAUUUUAAAAUGACCUUUUUAAUCCUCACAAAACAAGUAUUGAAGCAUUUUAAGGGACUAUGUUGAAUUUAUAAAUCAAAUUAAGGAGAAUUGACAUCUUAGAAUUUAGAAUUUAGUUUCCCAGUCCAUAAACAAAAUAUACCUCCCACUUAUUUAGGAUUUCUUUCAUUAAUGUUUUGUGGUUUUCAGUAUACUAUACCAAGGCUUUGUGCUAUGAUAAAUGAUACUGUUUCUCUCAUUUCAGAUUCCACUUGAUUUGUUCACAGCUGUAAGACUGUUUGUAGACCACAUAUUCUGCCCUUGUUAAAAAUUCUUACUAGGGGGUAAGCAUUUGACAUAGCAGAUAAGAUGUAGCUCUGUAUCCCCGCAACCCAUAUUAGAGACCUGCUUCUGAUUCCAGCCUUUUACUCAUGUAUACCUGGGAAGCACCAAGUGAUGCCUCAAGUAAUUGAGUCUCUGCUUCCUUUAUGGCAGACCUGAACUGAGUUCCAGGCCCUUGGUUUCAGCCUGGGCCAGUCCUAGAUUUUUCAGGUUUUUGGAGGAGUGAAUCAGCAGAUAGAUCUAUCUCUGUCUUUAGCUGUCUGCCUUUCAAAAAUAAAAAAUGAAUAAAUAAAUAAAUAAGUAACGUCAAAAACCAUUUACUAGUUUAAGGAGCUUUUUUGUAGUUAUUGUUGUGAUUUUGAGGGAGAUAGAUUUACUCUUGAUCUUUUUUGCUUUAUUCUUAACCUUUUUGCAUAUGCUGCAUGCUGACACUUCAGUAAAAUCUUGAAUAAAGAUUGUGAGAAUAGACAUUCUUGUCUUUCCCUAAUCUUGGAGAACAUUUAAUCUUACACUUUUAAGUGUGAUAUUAGCUAUAGGCUUUCUGUAAAUGCCUUUUUAUUGAGUUAAUGAAUGGAUUUUGAAUUUUGUUAAAAUUUUUUAUAUCAAAUGAUAUGUGGUUUUAAUUCUUUGGGCUUUCACUAGUUCACUGUUCAAAUGCUCACAACAGCCUGGUCUGAGCCAGGCUGAAGCUAGGAGCUGAAAAUUCAACCCAGGUCUCCCACAUGAGUGGAAAGAACCCAACUGUUUGAAUCAUUGCUCCUGCCUCUCAGGGUCUGCAUUAGCAAGAAAGUGGAGUCCAGGACCAUAACCUAGUAUUUAACCCAGGUAUUCAGAUGUGGGAUUUGGGUAGACUAGGAAAUGCCUGCCCCUGGUUUAUUUUCUAGAAUUUUCAUUGGUCUUGUAAGGAAAUUCAAGUCUCAGAAUUAUUUGGGAAAUAUUACCUCAGCUUAUAUUUUCUUGAAGAGACUGUGUGGAAUUGGUAUUAUUUCUUCCUUAGAUGCUUGGGAGAAUUCACUAAUUAAAAUCAUUUGGUCUUGGAACUAUUAUUUGGAACUCUGUAUGUGUGGGUCUUGGGCAAGAUAGUGUCUACAUAUUCAGUUUGCUACAUAACAUAAUAUUGGUAAGUUCACAUUAUAUCUUUCUCAUUGAGUGAAUUAUUAAUUUUUUCCAAGAAAUUAUUGUUUCACUUAAAUUUUUUAGUUUAUGAGCAUAGAGUUUGCAAUGGACUUCAUAUUUUUACUCUCCCCAUUUCUGUGCCAAAAUCCCUAUGUGAUUUAUUUGGAGGUGGGACCCUUAGAAAGUAAUGAGAUUAUGAAUGGGGCCCUUUUGAGUGAGAUUAGAAUGUCUUUACAAGAUGCCAGAGAGCUUCAUAGUUCUUUUUACUGUUAAGGAUACAACAAAACAUCUGUAAUCCUUCACCCAGAAGAGGCCCUUCCCUCACAGAAACGUGAUCACAAGGGCUGGUACCCUCAUGUUGGAAUCCCAGCCUCCAGAACUGAGGAAAAUAAAUGUUUAUUGUUUAAGGCCCCUGAUGGUAGCAGCCUUAACUAAGACAGCAUUUAUGUUAAUAUUUCUUUCAUUUCUAUUGUGUUGGUAGUUAUGUCCCCUUUUACAUUUCUAAUAUUAUGUCUUGUUUCCUCUGUUUUUCACAUUUAAAAAAACUUUCCAAAGAAUGUUUCUUUGGUUUUUCUGUUUUCAGUUUCAUUUUUAUGUGAUCUAAUCUUUAUUAUUUUCUUCCUUCUACUUUCUUUAGAUUUAAUUCCCUCUCCCUAGAAUAUUAAAGGGGGAAAACCGGUAUCUGACUAGAGAUCUUUCUUUUCUGUUUUAAAAAUGUUAAGCCACAAAUUCAUUUCUCAGCACUGCUUUAGCUGCACCCCAAAAUUUGUUUUUUCUGUUUUUAUUCACUUCAAAAAAACCUAAUUUUCUGUAAGAUUUCCUCUUUUACCUUGUAUUAAUUAAAAGUGUAUAAUUAUAAUAUUUUAUUUAUUCAGAUAGCUUUGCACUUACUGAUUUCUAGUAUAAUUUGUGGCUAAAGAUAAUCCUGUCUAUAAUUUCACUUUCUUAAUACUUAUGGCGAUUUAUCUUAUAGCUGGAGUGCAGUGUCUUGAUGAGUGUUUCAUAUACAUUUGAAUUCAGUGGUUGUUGAAUGUAUUGUAUCCUCUGGUUUAAGAGAUACAGUUAUAAUUGCUACUUUAUCUCUCCUACCUAUAGUACCUGGCCUACUAAGCAUCCCUACGUAUUAUUUCUGUGCUUUCUCUUCUCUUUGUUUGUUUGUUUCUUUACUUCUCUCAGAUAUUUUUUAAGAUGUAUUAAUUUAUUUGAAAAAGUUACACACAGGGAGGAGAGACAGAGAGAGAGAGAGAGGUCUUCCAUCUGCUGGUUCACUCCUCAACUGGCCAUAAUGGGCGGAGCUGUGCUAAUCUGAAGAUAGGAGCCGGGAGCUUCCUCUGGGUCUUCCCACAUGGGUGCAGGAGCCCAAGGACUUGGGCCAUAGCAGAGAACUGGGCAGAAAGUGGAGCAGCCGGGACUCGAACUGGCACCCAUAUGGGAUGCCAGCACUGUAGGCGGUGGCUUUACCAGCUAUGCCACAGUGCCAGCUCUUCUUCAACUUCUAUUGAAUGGCAACUAGUACUCUAAAACAACAGAUUUUUUCUUCUUGCAGAUUAAGACAUUUGUUCCACCAUUUAGAUAAUAAUAUUUUUCCAGGUGGAAUUUUGAUACUGGCUGCUGGUAAUUGUUCCAGCAUACCCCAAGAAUGAAAUAUUAUCUGCAUUCUUCAUGAUCAUUCCUAUGAGCUCCAGGUUUGGCACACAGCAGGGUGGGGGUGGGGGGUAUAUUACAUGAGCAUCCAGAUCCUCUGUAUCUGUGGUUGUGGCUGUCUCAGUAGAUUAGCUCUCCUGCUCAGCUUGAAUGGAACCACACAGUGAAUCCUCUGUUUUUGUUUGACCUGAGUAUGGUGGAUUCUAUGAAAAGUUUUUCUGUUAGAUCAUAUUUUCUCAGAUCUAGAAGGAAUAGGCUUUUCUUGAUUAUACCCCAGAUUAUAGGUGUCUUAAGUACCCAGACUAUAUUGAUGGGAAGCAGUAAGAAAUGCCUGGGAAUUUUGUUCUCUGUCAUUUCUGAAGUCUACUUCCUUUCCAUUCUGUAGAAUUGUCACUUGCUAAUUUUUUUUGACAGGAACUUAAUUGUUAGAGGAGGCCCCUGGGAAAAAGCAGUACUCCAUUCUGGCUGGCAUUGACAAUAAUACCUAUUUGUUUAAACAUUAUGGAUGAUGAAAAAGAGAAUGUUUGUCUGUGUGUAUCAGUUAUUUAAUCUUUGUAACACGACCAGAAACAACAGAAUAAAAUCUAUAACAUAACUAUUUGUUUUUCUUGAUAAGAAAUACAACACUUUUUAAAUGUUUUCUAUUUUUCUCAUUUUAGGGUAUUACAGAGUUAAUGUACACAUCAAAGGGACCCAGAAAAAAACAAAUACAUCCUCUCUGGCAAGUAAUAUUCAUUGAUGACCAACACUGAGUUAAAAAAAGACAGAAAGUUUUAGUAAAAAUGCCUAAUCUGAAUAUAGCUCCAGCUUUUUCAAGAAUAACACUCUUUAAAUGUGAAGCAUAUAGAAUGAAUUCUCCAGCUGUUUCUGAAUUAUUUAGUGAAGGAAGCUAUUUAAGAAAGAAAGUUGAUUACAUGAAUGUGUGUGAACAAUUGCAGCUUGAUAUUGAGCAUCAAAAAACUCAUCCUGAAGAGAAACUUUACAAAUAUAAUGCAAAUGUGAAAGCUCCCAGUUAUAACAAAAAUCAACAUCAGAAAUUUCAAACUUUGAAGCAAUCUUUUGAAUAUAAUGAUUUUGGAAAUUUUUUAUGUAAUAAGACUCUCUGUAGUGCAGUUGAAAGUUCUCCAACAGGAAGGAAGCCCUAUAAGAGUGAUGAAUUUGGGGAAAACUAUAAUAAAAUAAUACUACUUGACCACGUAAGAACUGCUACAAGGAGAAGAUGCCCUGAUCUUAAUGAAUGUGGGAAAUCCUGUAACAAAACCACCACUGUAGAAUACAAUAAAGUUCAUGUGGCUAUGACACACCAUGAAUGUAGUGAAACUGGAAUUAUUUUUUUGGUACAAAAUCACCUCUCACUCAGUCUCCAAGGUCUAUUAUAAGACAGAAUAUUUGUGAAAGCAAUGCAUAUGAAGAAAACUUAAUCCAGGGCCUAUCCCAUGUGGUACACCAGAAAACACAACCUGGAGAUAAGUUCAGUGAAUAUAAUAGAUGUACAAAUGCCUUCUAUAAGAUAUUAGACCUUUCAGUGCAUAGAGAACUGGAGAACAAGUCUAUGAACUUGAUGAAUAUAGUAAAUCUGAGAAACUGUACCACAAAGCACAUCACAUUCAGCAUCAAAGAGCUGUCUCAGGUGAGAAACCUUAUGAAUGUGAGGAAUAUAAAAAAUCUUUUUCAAAUUCACACUCAGUUCAACAUCCUGAAACUCAUAGAGGGUUCAGACAUUAUGGAUGUAAUGAAUAUAGGGGGACAGUCUAUAAGAAGUCAAAGCUCAGUGAACAUCUGGGAAUUCACAUAGAGAAAAAACCUUAUGAUAACAAUGGCUGUGAGAAUUCUUUUAAGUCUUCCCAAAUAGGACACCAAAGAACAGACACAAAAAUUAAACUCUAUUAAGGCUGUGAAUAUGGGAAAGCACUCCUCAAGAUGGUACAUCUCAGAGAACAUCUGACAGUUCACACAGGGAAGAAAUCCUAUGAAUGUAUUGAAUGUGGGAAAACAUUUUCCAAGACAUCAUAUCUCAGAGCACAUCAGAGAACUCACACAGGUAAAAAACCUUAUGAAUGCAAUGAGUGUGGCAAAACUUUCUCUCACAAGACACACCUCAGUGCACAUCAGAGAAUUCACACAGGGGAGAAACCUUAUGCAUGUAAUGAAUGUGGAAAAGCUUUUGCUGAUAAGUCAACCCUCAGAGCACAUCAGAGAAUUCAGAGAAUUCAUACUGGGGAGAAACCCUAUGAGUGUAAUGAAUGUGGGAGACCUUUUGCCCAUAUUUCUGUACUUAGAGCACAUCAAUUCACACAGGGGAGAAACCAUACAAAUGUAAUGAGUGUGGGAGAUCUUUUACAUAUAAUUCAGCCUUCAGAGCACAUCUGAGAACUCACACAGGUGAGAAGCCUUAUGAAUGCAAUAGCUGUGAGAAAACUUUUGCCCACAAUUCAGCCCUAAGAGUACAUCAGUGAAAAUACACAGGGCAGAAGCCCUAUGAAUGUAAUGACUGUGAGAAAACGUUUGCACAUAAUUCAACCCUCAGAGCACAUCAGAAAAUUCACACUAGAGAGAAACUCUAUGAAUGUGGUGAAUGUGGAAAAACAUUUUCCCAGAAGACAUGCCUCAGUACACAUCAAAGAAUUCACACGGGAGAAACCCUAUGAAUGUAAUAAGUGUGGGAAAACUUUCUCACAGAAGUCAUACCUCACUGAA